GUGGGUGUAGUUCAAAGGAAGAAUAUCUCCUCUUUAAGGAGAAGACCCUUGGUUCGAUACCAGGCGCCCACC
This is a non-coding RNA of Lophiotrema nucula, 72 nucleotides long. Lineage: Eukaryota; Fungi; Ascomycota; Dothideomycetes; Pleosporales; Lophiotremataceae. The record is from the annotation of a GenBank genome assembly.